Molecule: ribosomal RNA, 274 nt
Filed under: uncultured bacterium
Lineage: Bacteria
Description: partial 16S ribosomal RNA
Rfam family: Bacterial small subunit ribosomal RNA
Source: RNAcentral
CUACGGAGGGUGCAAGCGUUAAUCGGAAUUACUGGGCGUAAAGCGUACGUAGGCGGUUCGUUAAGUUAGAUGUGAAAGCCCCGGGCUUAACCUGGGAACUGCAUUUAAAACUGGCGGACUAGAGUUGAGUAGAGGGGAGUGGAAUUUCAGGUGUAGCGGUGAAAUGCGUAGAGAUCUGAAGGAACACCAGUGGCGAAGGCGACUCCCUGGACUCGAACUGACGCUGAGGUACGAAAGCGUGGGUAGCAAACGGGAUUAGAAACCCCAGUAGUCC